This 202-nucleotide ribosomal RNA is filed under the name uncultured bacterium. RNAcentral's name for it is "partial 16S ribosomal RNA". It matches the Rfam family "Bacterial small subunit ribosomal RNA", at positions 328 to 538 of the family's 1533-position model. The record is from RNAcentral.
ACGCUCGACACCUACGGGGGCAGCAGUGGGGAAUAUUGGGCAAUGGGCGAAAGCCUGACCCAGCAACGCCGCGUGAGGGAAGAAGGUUUUUCGGAUUGUAAACCUCUGUCCUCAGGGACGAAGGACGUGACGGUACCUGAGGAGGAAGCCCCGGCUAACUACGUGCCAGCAGCCGNGUAUCUGAGGCGGGCGUGGCGAAGGC